RNAcentral lists this long non-coding RNA (241 nucleotides) under Nicotiana benthamiana. RNAcentral describes it as "long non-coding RNA (NBEN_LNC033291)". The record is from RNAcentral. Lineage: Eukaryota; Viridiplantae; Streptophyta; Magnoliopsida; Solanales; Solanaceae.
AUACAACACUCCAAGACUUCAACCAAGGAAACACAAGUUCCUUACAACAAGGGGAAUUACAAUUCUCUUACAAGUGUAUAAAACACUAAAACACUCAAACAAUAUACUCCUUUAAGAGUAGGAAUGAGUAAAAGAAAUAAGCUCUAGCUCACAACAACUUUGGACAAGAAUAUGGCUCUCAAAAGCUUUAUGAAAUUGAAUAUAAAAUGAUAAACAAAAGUAUGCAAGCUUAUAGCAAUGU